Molecule: signal recognition particle RNA, 300 nt
Filed under: Cavia porcellus (domestic guinea pig)
Lineage: Eukaryota; Metazoa; Chordata; Mammalia; Rodentia; Caviidae
Description: Metazoan signal recognition particle RNA
Rfam family: Metazoan signal recognition particle RNA
About the family: The signal recognition particle (SRP) is a universally conserved ribonucleoprotein.
Source: Rfam by way of RNAcentral
GCCGGACGCGGUGGCGCGCGCCUGUAGUCCCAGCUACUCGGGAGGCUGAGGUGGGAGGAUCGCUUGAGUCCAGGAGUUCUGGGCUGCAGUGCGCUAUGCCGAUCGGGUGUCCGCACUAAGUUCGGCAUCAAUAUGGUGACUUCCCGGGAGCGGGGGACCACCAGGUUGCCUAAGGAGGGGUGAACCGGCCCAGGUCGGAAACGGAGCAGGUCAAAACUCCCGUGCUGAUCAGUAGUGGGAUCGCGCCUGUGAAUAGCCACUGCACUCCAGCCUGGGCAAUAUAGUGAGACCCUGUCUCUA